RNAcentral lists this ribosomal RNA (549 nucleotides) under uncultured Glomus. RNAcentral's name for it is "SSU rRNA". It matches the Rfam family "Eukaryotic small subunit ribosomal RNA", at positions 548 to 1098 of the family's 1831-position model. Lineage: Eukaryota; Fungi; Glomeromycota; Glomeromycetes; Glomerales; Glomeraceae. The record is from RNAcentral.
UUGGAGGGCAAGUCUGGUGCCAGCAGCCGCGGUAAUUCCAGCUCCAAUAGCGUAUAUUAAAGUUGUUGCAGUUAAAAAGCUCGUAGUUGAAUUUCGAGAUCAGUACGCUGGUCGUGCCUUUGGUAUGCACUGGUGUCACUGGUUUCUCCCUUCUGAAGAACUGUCAUGCCAUUCAGUUGGUGUGGCGGGGAAUCAGGACUGUUACUUUGAAAAAAUUAGAGUGUUUAAAGCAGGCUCGCGCUUGAAUACAUUAGCAUGGAAUAAUGAAAUAGGACGUUUGACCCUAUUUUGUUGGUUUCUAGGAUCGACGUAAUGAUUAAUAGGGAUAGUUGGGGGCAUUAGUAUUCAAUUGUCAGAGGUGAAAUUCUUGGAUUUAUUGAAGGCUAACUACUGCGAAAGCAUUUGCCAAGGAUGUUUUCAUUAAUCAAGAACGAAAGUUAGGGGAUCGAAGACGAUCAGAUACCGUCGUAGUCUUAACCAUAAACUAUGCCGACUAGGGAUCGGAUGAUGUUAAUUUUUUAAUGACUCAUUCGGCGCCUUACGGGAAAC